Molecule: long non-coding RNA, 2296 nt
Organism: Capsicum annuum
Lineage: Eukaryota; Viridiplantae; Streptophyta; Magnoliopsida; Solanales; Solanaceae
Exons: 4
Source: RefSeq, a predicted model, not a curated record
CUUAACCUGGCCGAACCCGCAAUCCAUUUAUUAACAAAUACAAAGUGUAGGGUUUCUAAAAAGGACUAGUUUCUUAAUCCUAAAAGUAUAUCCGCCUCCUUCAUCAUUGAUGUGUCCUUUCUCUACUUCAAGAUUCAAGUUGUUACUGCUUUGAGAUCUUAAUACUGAGCCUUCUUCAUAGAAGCAAGUACUCCUUUCUUUCGCAGCUUUACUGUAACUAGCUGAACAUCGAUAUUGCUUGUGUUGCAGCUUCAUUCUCCAUAAAAUGAGAUAAAUGAUAUAUAUUUGGUCAACUAAGAUGGAUCCUGUCUUCUGAUUAAAGCUAUAAUAGCCAAGCUUGGGCAUUUGAAGUCAUUCCUUAUUUAAGACAACGCAUGAACUACCAGGAAGAUGUUUCAUGUCCAAGAAUUCUGAGAUGGUUAUCGGCCAAAAUCGAUAAAAAAGAAAAAUUUCUUGAUCUCUUCACCCCCUGAAGGAAGUAAUUGUGCAUCAGUGGCUUGUUCCGAUCAAUCGAGAGUUGAAGAUGUCAUAUUUAUUACUUUAUGGUCUGUGCAAACUUUAUUGGAACCUAUGGUCAUCGAUAGAAUAAAUAAGAAAUUGUUUAGAACAACAACCAUCACAAGAAAAAUAAUUUUGAAGGGUGGGCUUUUUGUUGCUGAUGGUGUUAGUGGUGAUGGAGUUAUUGGUGGUGGUAGUGGUGUUGUUGUUGGGGUUAAUGAUGCUCCUCUUGCAGUUUUUGAAACAACAAACCAUUAUGUUUAUGAUUAUACUGGUUUUAGAGCUUUUUUCCCUCCUAGCGAAUGUUUUACAUGCAAAUGUCAAGGCUGCAAGGCAAGUGAUUAAUGCUAUUAAUGCAUUAACUGCUUCUGUAAAGGAAUUGACAUCUAAGAGGGGUGUCAUUCCAUCAAAGAGGAUUUCAUAUCCAUACACUCCAUUAGAUAUUAAGGCGGCUAAGAGAAGGAGGAAAGAAAUUUUCAAGACAUCAUCAAGCAUCAAAAAAAGCAAAAUUAAAACUCCUCUGUCUCUGUCUUACACUUUUGAUCAAUGUACAAAGGCCACGGGAGAGCAGCAUGAGUUGAAGAAAGUGAAUAUAUAUCACCUGUUCUAACAAACAAACUGAUUACAUAUCUGUUGCAACAGAUGACAUAUCUGCUGAAAAUUAUCAAACAGAUAUAUACAUCUGUUGCAAUAGUAGACUAACUUGUUGCAUCAAACGCAUCAUCUAUUGCAACAUAUAUCUCUUCUGUUUUAGAAAAUCAAAUAAUUCUUUCUAUUUUUUUAAAUUUGUAACAACAGAUUACCUAUCUGCUGUAACAGAUGGGCCAUCAUUGGGACUGACUUCCUACUAUUUUAGUUUGUCCAAAUAGAUGAGUCAUAUGUUGCAAUAGAUGGGUCAUCUGUUGAAAAUUAUCAUACACGUCUUCCUCCUAUUUUGAUUUAUCCCAACAGAUGAUCCAUCAAUUUUAGAAUAUGACUCAUUUAUUUGGACAAAUUAAAAUAGGAAGAAGACCUGUUUGAUUUGCUAAAACAAAUGAGUUAGUAUCUCUGUGAUUAGCAUUGACAAUUCUGGCUUUUUAGGUGGAUGCCAUAGUAGAAGCUACUGCUGAACAACAUAAUAUAACGGUUGGUAAUCCAUUAACUACUUCCAAAGAUGAAAAAGUAAUGUCUGUCAGUCCGGAAGAAUGGAAGAAUUACCCAUUUAAAGGGUUCAACAUCUUGGACGAGGCUCCAAAAAUCUAGUAAAGUUGAUCGACGACUAUUCAGAAUAGAUUGCCCAUGGGCUAUUAAAGCUUCAUGCCGGGAGUGAUGUCGGGAAGGAUACAUUCUCAACCAUCGUCUGAGAUACAGAAGCUGGCUAAAAUAUUGCCUACUUGAUGUAAGUGGCUUUUUGAACCAAAAGGUUCGUACUGAUUGAUUGACGAUUGAAGCAUACCGAGAUAAAAUGGGAAAUUCAUUUGAUGUAAAAUAUGUUGAAAAAAUUGCUCAACAACUCAUUGGUAUCCUGUAAAUAUCAAUCAAAUAUCAUGAUUUAGUUUCAGUUCAUAAAUUUCACAACACUUACAUUAAUUGUAAGAUAUAGAUUAUUUGAUUUCUACAAACGCAGGAAUUGCAGUCUUUUUGUUGUCGCUUACACCAAGUAUUUGAGUGAUGGAUUACAUGUACCAAAUAAUGAACUUGAUUUCGGAUUACUCCAUAAAAGAUAUGCUAAUCUUUUAUGGAAAUACAGAGAAGCGAAAUCUCAGAAACCGUACGCAAGAGACAUUAAAGAUCCACGAUGACCAAAGCCAAAUUCUAU